This is a long non-coding RNA of Solea solea (common sole), 701 nucleotides long. RefSeq lists it as uncharacterized. The transcript has 3 exons. The record is from RefSeq and is a predicted model, not a curated record. Lineage: Eukaryota; Metazoa; Chordata; Actinopteri; Pleuronectiformes; Soleidae.
CGACGUCCUUCCUCCAAGACGUUCCACUAUGAGAGCAUUGUCCGCUUGUCAACACCCAAAAGCAGGAGCGGCAGUUUUCAGGAAACAGGGCCUCCUCACUCGGCUCAGUGUGAGAGCAACUGUCCCAUCUGGCACAUCCAUCCCCGAGUGAAGACUACCAGGAUCUCACCUCGACUGCUGCAGCUCUCACAUCCCAAACUGACCCGUCCAGACUUCCAGAGCAACAGCGAGGUAACAUCUGCCUUGUUACUCGAGCUGCAUCAACAUUAAAUCUGAUCUGCCGUCUGUUUGCUGCCACAGAGCGUCACCUCCACCGUGUCCUUGGCGUCCAGGAGAAGCCACGCCUCUGAGCGACUGGUCCAGCUGUCACUGCCCAGACUGAGGCAGAGCAACAUCUGCAGCGAGCUCGGUCGUCCAGAGGACUCUAUCUGGUCUGUUUCAAAGGCAGCGAGAGGAGCCUCAGCGAGCGCUCGUGUUGAGACGCUCGCGACACCGAAACAGCUUUGUGAAGAUUACGUCCCGCCACCAGAACCAGACUGGAGUCAAAACAACGACCGCUCCACCUGAACUUUUCUCAGCUUCACAAACAUAGCUUUUAUGAAUGAAAAUGCAGUGAGGUAGUAAUAGUAAUCAUUAAAAAAAGCCUCUUUUGCUGGCAAAAAUGUCUAAAAUAAUGAGUUUCUUAGAUCAUUUGCCAUAUG